RNAcentral lists this ribosomal RNA (251 nucleotides) under uncultured bacterium. Its description in RNAcentral is "partial 16S ribosomal RNA". It matches the Rfam family "Bacterial small subunit ribosomal RNA", at positions 57 to 305 of the family's 1533-position model. The record is from RNAcentral.
GCAAGUCGAGGGGCAGCAUUGGUACUUGUACCAGAUGGCGACCGGCGCACGGGUGCGUAACGCGUAUGCAACCUACCUAUUACUUAGGGAUAGCCUCUAGAAAUGGAGAUUAAUACCUAAUAGCAUCUAAAUACCACCUGGUACUAAGAUUAAAGAUUUAUCGGUAAUAGAUAAGCAUGCGUGACAUUAGCUAGUUGGUAAGGUAACUGCUUACCAAGGCUACGAUGUCUAGGGGAUCUGAGAGGACUACC